Nicotiana attenuata is the source of this 812-nucleotide long non-coding RNA. RefSeq lists it as uncharacterized. Lineage: Eukaryota; Viridiplantae; Streptophyta; Magnoliopsida; Solanales; Solanaceae. The record is from RefSeq and is a predicted model, not a curated record. The transcript has 4 exons.
UACAUUUGUAGUUUUUAAGUUUAAUUAAACGAAAGUAAAAAAUAUGAGACCCGCCUAACUUCUUCUUUCAGAAAAGAAGUAUAGCGUUAGUCUCUUAGAAACCCUAGCAAUCUCUCCCCUUUCCUCACCCCAAAACACUGAUGUUGCGCGAGAUGCAGUCUCUGCAUCAAGUUUCACAAGAUUCUCAAUCAUUUAACUGUUAUCGUUGUUAAGCCACACCAGACAAUAUGGAAUUUCUCUUUGAACUUGCUUCAUAGCGCUCGAUUAGCAGAUAAGUGAUUCUCGCCGUGUCGUAGAGAAUCAGAAGGGACAUAACCAGGCUGGAGGAAAUCCAAAGGAGACACGAUUUUUAGAUUUUGGUUGUUCUGAUCAUAGUGUGUAAGCUUGUGAAGUUUGGUUGAGUAGCUGGUUCCAAAUUGAUCUUCCAUCUAAAAGAAAUUGGUGAUGGUCUGCAAAUGGCAAGAGACUUCUAUUUUGGAAGUAUUGUCGUUGAUUAUAGUGAAGUUACUCGGAAGGAUUUGGGUUGUUGAUUGCCUACCAGAUGGAAAUUGUGUCAUCUUUACGAGGUUGCUACAUCAGUCACUUCUGCACUAAAGAGGCUACCAAAGACAGAUACACAAUUGAAUUGGAGAGGAAGCUACAUAUAUAAGGAAGUGCAGAAAGAGUGAAAGAGGAAUUGAAGAAGUGAAAAGAUCUCUUGUUGUUCCAAACAGUUAUAUUUUGCUUCAAUGACAAAUAACUUUUUCAUGACUUUUUUUUUAUUGUAAAGACUACAAUUUUUUUUCAAUGGAAUUAAUUUUCGAGAACUUUCA